AGAUUGCAGUGGAGGUGAGUGAGAGGUGAGAAAGAAGAGCUGCUAAAGAGGAUUCUCUAGCUUGCAACCAUGAAGUACAGAAGAUUAAUCCACAAAUAGUUUGUUGAAAGGCUUCAUCUAAAUGGAAGCUUUGUCCUUGAGACCUGAACACAAAGACUGUGACAAAUCAAGAUGACCUCUCCCGACAGGAUGACAGUGAUCCCCCAAAAGAAUAUGAUCCUGGGCAAUUUGCAGGCCUGCUCCAUGGAUCCUCUCCAGCCUGUGAGUCCCCUGAAAAUCCAUUUCAUCUCUAUGGGAAAAGAGAACAAUGUGAAAAAGGACAAGAUGAAGUCAGUUUGGCAAACAGUCCUUUGCCUUUCAAGCAGUCUCCAAUAGAAAAUAACUCAGAACCUUUGGUAAAGAAAAUUAAACCCAAAGUGGUCAGUAGAACAAUUUUUCACAAAAAAAGCAACCAACUCGAAAACCAUACCAUUGUUGGCACAAGAUCAACCAGGAGUGGAUCUCGGAAUGGGGACCAGUGGGUUAUGAACACAGGGGGAUUUGUGGAGAGAGCCUGCACUCUGGGGAGAAUAAGGUCAUUGCCUAAAGCCUUGAUCGACA
This 600-nucleotide small RNA is filed under the name Pongo abelii (Sumatran orangutan). Its description in RNAcentral is "processed transcript". The record is from RNAcentral. Lineage: Eukaryota; Metazoa; Chordata; Mammalia; Primates; Hominidae.